AGUGAACGCUGGCGGUAGGCCUAACACAUGCAAGUCGAACGGCAGCACAGUAAGAGCUUGCUCUUACGGGUGGCGAGUGGCGGACGGGUGAGGAAUACAUCGGAAUCUACUUUUUCGUGGGGGAUAACGUAGGGAAACUUACGCUAAUACCGCAUACGACCUACGGGUGAAAGCAGGGGAUCUUCGGACCUUGCGCGAUUGAAUGAGCCGAUGUCGGAUUAGCUAGUUGGCGGGGUAAAGGCCCACCAAGGCGACGAUCCGUAGCUGGUCUGAGAGGAUGAUCAGCCACACUGGGACUGAGACACGGUCCAGACUCCUACGGGAGGCAGCAGUGGGGAAUAUUGGACAAUGGGCGCAAGCCUGAUCCAGCCAUACCGCGUGGGUGAAGAAGGCCGUCGGGUUGUAAAGCCUUUUUGUUGGGAAAGAAAAGCAGCAGGUUAAUACCCCGCUGUUCUGACGGUACCCAAAGAAUAAGCACCGGCUAACUUCGUG
RNAcentral lists this ribosomal RNA (492 nucleotides) under uncultured bacterium. Its description in RNAcentral is "partial 16S ribosomal RNA". It matches the Rfam family "Bacterial small subunit ribosomal RNA", at positions 29 to 507 of the family's 1533-position model. The record is from RNAcentral.